Molecule: long non-coding RNA, 284 nt
Filed under: Phoenix dactylifera (date palm)
Lineage: Eukaryota; Viridiplantae; Streptophyta; Magnoliopsida; Arecales; Arecaceae
Description: long non-coding RNA (PDAC_LNC003996)
Source: RNAcentral
UCGUAAAACAACAAGUUUGGUUGUGAGCUUGGAAAACAACCGGCUGUAAUCCAAGGGGUUAUAGUGAAUUCCCAAGUGAGACUUGGGGAGUGGACGUAGGAGCAAGGGUUAGCUCUGAACCACUAUAAAACUUGGUGUUUGUGAUUGAUUGUCUCUCUUUCUCUUACUCUCAUAUCACUUACAGCACAUAGCAAUUAAUUAAACAACUUGCAAUAGUUUUAAUUAGUCAUCCACAACGUUUUAAAUAGCUAAAUUAUUUUAAAACCCAAUUCACCCCCCCCCCC